This is a long non-coding RNA of Spinacia oleracea (spinach), 676 nucleotides long. RefSeq lists it as uncharacterized. The record is from RefSeq and is a predicted model, not a curated record. Lineage: Eukaryota; Viridiplantae; Streptophyta; Magnoliopsida; Caryophyllales; Amaranthaceae. The transcript is spliced from 3 exons.
UUCGUUCUCCUUUCUCUUCUCUCUCUUUGCUUCAUUCUUUCCUGCUAUUGAAUUGCAGCAACCACCGCAACGACCCCCGCUUCCCACCAGCGACCAACCGCACCACCACCGACUGCCCAGUACCGGCCCCUGUUGCCGCGUCGCGUCGCCCAGUAGCUGCAGCCUCCCUCCUUUCUCUGUCACGCACGAAAUUGCAGCUCCCUCUCUUCUUGCUUCUUGCGUGCACAACCACCACCACCCACAAGCGUCGCCAACCUCCGCGACCACCUGCACCGCCGUCACGCAGCCCGCCGUCAGCCAGCUCCCCUCCUAUCUCCUUUGGCGGAGAAUUCUUUGUAGGCGACUUUUGAAUUCGUUAAAGUGGCCUAUCAAUUUGUUUACACAAGUCUCUAAGGAUCAAUAAGCAUUGUCCAUCUGCAGGUUCGAAGAUGUUGCAUCAUUGGGAUCGGGAAUAGAGAGCUUGUAUUUAGUUUUGAUUUGCUAAGUUGACUUGGGUUUGUUAAUUAGGACUUUAAACUUGUCGUACUAUUUAUAUUUCCUUAUUUUUGUUGGAUGAUUUUUGGGACUAAACCUGUAAUCGAUUAUUUAUAAACCUACAGUUAGUUUUAUGUUUUCCGCUGCAAAAUUCUGAAUAAGCCGUUACGUUUUCACACGGGCGAUAAUGCCUUGAUAAUUC